CCUACGUGUGGCAGCAGUGGGGAAUAUUGGACAAUGGGCGAAAGCCUGAUCCAGCCAUGCCGCGUGUGUGAAGAAGGCCUUCGGGUUGUAAAGCACUUUCAGUGGGGAAGAAAGCCUUGGGGCUAAUACCCUCGAGGAAGGACAUCACCCACAGAAGAAGCACCGGCUAACUCCGUGCCAGCAGCCGCGGUAAUACGGAGGGUGCGAGCGUUAAUCGGAAUUACUGGGCGUAAAGCGCGCGUAGGCGGUCUGAUAAGCCGGUUGUGAAAGCCCCGGGCUCAACCUGGGAACGGCAUCCGGAACUGUCAGGCUAGAGUGCAGGAGAGGAAGGUAGAAUUCCCGGUGUAGCGGUGAAAUGCGUAGAGAUCGGGAGGAAUACCAGUGGCGAAGGCGGCCUUCUGGACUGACACUGACGCCGAGGUGCGAAAGCGUGGGUAGCAAACAGGAUUAGAUACCCGUGUAGUC
RNAcentral lists this ribosomal RNA (465 nucleotides) under Vreelandella stevensii. Its description in RNAcentral is "partial 16S ribosomal RNA". It matches the Rfam family "Bacterial small subunit ribosomal RNA", at positions 338 to 795 of the family's 1533-position model. Lineage: Bacteria; Pseudomonadati; Pseudomonadota; Gammaproteobacteria; Oceanospirillales; Halomonadaceae. The record is from RNAcentral.